This 438-nucleotide ribosomal RNA is filed under the name Deinagkistrodon acutus (Chinese moccasin). RNAcentral's name for it is "partial 16S ribosomal RNA". It matches the Rfam family "Bacterial large subunit ribosomal RNA", at positions 1951 to 2607 of the family's 2925-position model. The record is from RNAcentral. Lineage: Eukaryota; Metazoa; Chordata; Lepidosauria; Squamata; Viperidae.
CAAAGGUAGCGUAAUCACUUGUCUAUUAAUUGUAGACCUGUAUGAAAGGCAAAAUGAGGGUCUAACUGUCUCUUAUGGCAAAUCAAUUAAACUGAUCUCCUAGUACAAAAGCUAGAAUACCAACAUAAGACCAGAAGACCCUGUGAAGCUUUAAAAAACCUAUUAAAUCAAAUAAUAACUACUUUCGGUUGGGGCGACCUUGGAACAAAAAAGAACUUCCAACACAUGACUCCCUCAUAAAAUAGGCAAACAAGCCAACACCUGAUCCAGUACAACUGAUAAAUGAAACAAGUUACUCCAGGGAUAACAGCGCUAUCUUCUUCAAGAGCCCAUAUCAAAAAGAAGGUUUACGACCUCGAUGUUGGAUCAGGACACCCCAGUAAUGUACCCGUUACUAAAGGUUCGUUUGUUCAACGAUUAAUAGUCCUACGUGAUCUG